GGCCUGUGGGGGGGCGUCUGCAGGGACUGCACCAGGUCGCCCUAUCUGGCCCUGGGGUGUGGAGGCUGCGGGCAGCACAGCAUGGCCAUCUUGGACCCUGGGCCGGCCCUCCCCCUCGACUGUCACGCUCCACAGGUCUCCCAGCUCCGAGCCGGCCGGGCCCAGGGAGGGGCAGGCUCCGGCAGUCGGUGGAACGAAUAAGGAGUGUCCAGGUCUGGCGCAGCUGGUUUGGAGGCUGGACCCGGGGCUGGGGUUUGGCUCUGCCCCCGUCCCAACAGGGACUGUGGCAUGAAGCCGCUCCAGGGUUCGCUGCGGGCCCCAGAGCUCCCCUCUUGAGGCAGACUCCCCAGAGCCUCGGGGCCCAUGGGAGGGCACCGGCAUGGCACGGCUAUCCUCCAGCCCGGCUGGUCAACUGGGAGGCUGACCCUCAGGAAUGGCUCCUCGGCUCCAAUGAUCUGGGCUUCUGCUACUACAGAACCCCCACCCUCCCGUCGCUGUGCACCCCCACCCACAUCCACGUAAUGCCCCGUGGUGAGCAGGUGAGGCCACCCAUCCCUGCCCAGGGAGAUCCCGGGCUGACGUGCGGCCAGGUGCCCAUGGUGCUCCACCUGGGGCCAUGGAGCCGAGGGGGCUCUGCAGGGUGCAAGGCACCUCCAGCCUGGCUGCCUGCUGCCUCCCCCUUGCACGUGGAGUCUGCGGGGGGCUGACGGUGACCGGAGGCCGGGCUUCAGCUCCGCAAAGGGCCACAGUGGCUCCGCCAGACUCGAGACGGGUCCAUGCGUCUUGAUCCAAGGCUUCCUGGGAAUAUUCGAGCCCUGCCGACGGAUGUGAUACAGAAAUACAGCCGGCUGCCAGCACGACCGGGGCGGGGGCGACUUCCUCGCCAGCAAGCGAGGAGGAACCCUGUUUUCUCCCCCGCUCAGCCCCACCCCCAGAACUGGGGGCAGCACGCGGAGACUGGAGCUGCCUCUCUCCAGAAUUAGCGAGGCUGCUGCUCCAAGUAAUUUUUUUUGAUUCCACACUGAGCUGUAACAGAAUAUUUGGAUUAUUGUUUUUCCCCUUUUCUACAAACUCAGCAAUUGAAUUAAAAUGCAGGAGU
This 1099-nucleotide long non-coding RNA is filed under the name Equus caballus (horse). RNAcentral's name for it is "lncRNA (ENSECAG00000040269.3)". The record is from RNAcentral. Lineage: Eukaryota; Metazoa; Chordata; Mammalia; Perissodactyla; Equidae.